RNAcentral lists this ribosomal RNA (465 nucleotides) under uncultured bacterium. Its description in RNAcentral is "partial 16S ribosomal RNA". It matches the Rfam family "Bacterial small subunit ribosomal RNA", at positions 338 to 795 of the family's 1533-position model. The record is from RNAcentral.
CCUACGGGUGGCAGCAGUAGGGAAUUUUCGUCAAUGGGCGCAAGCCUGAACGAGCGAUGCCGCGUGAGUGAAGAAGGCCUUCGGGUCGUAAAGCUCUGUUGCGGGGGAAAAAAGGCAGCAUCAGGAAAUGGGUGCUGACUGAUGGUGCCCCGCCAGUACGUCACGGCUAACUACGUGCCAGCAGCCGCGGUAAUACGUAGGUGGCGAGCGUUAUCCGGAAUGAGUGGGCGUAAAGGGUGCGCAGGCGGUCCUGCAAGUCUGGAGUGAAACGCAUGAGCUCAACUCAUGCAUGGCGUUGGAAACUGGAGGACUGGAGAGAAGGAGAGGGCGGUGGAACUCCAUGGGGAGCGGUAAAAUGCGUAGAUAUCUGGAAGAACAACAGGGGGGAAGGCGGCCGCCUGGCCUGUUGCUGACGCUGAGGCACGAAAGCGUGGGGAGCAAAUAGGAUUAGAUACCCGGGUAGUC